This is a long non-coding RNA of Hyaena hyaena (striped hyena), 567 nucleotides long. RefSeq lists it as uncharacterized. NCBI's taxonomy places the organism in Eukaryota, Metazoa, Chordata, Mammalia, Carnivora, Hyaenidae. The transcript has 3 exons. The record is from RefSeq and is a predicted model, not a curated record.
UCAAGGAGACAGAGCCAGAGCCCUUAUAGGACCUGAUGGUCCACACUUUUAAAAUUCUUAAUUUUACCAGGCCUGGCCGGAAGAAAACGAGAGUAUGAGCUGAGCCAGAGUUGGUUCGAGAAAUGGUUUAACAGCUCCCCUUGGCUUACUACCCUGAUUCCUACUUUAAUAGGCCCCGUACUGAUUUUACUGCUGUUACUAACCUUUGGACCUUGCAUUCUUAAUAGACUGGUUACAUCUAUGAAAGAACGCUUGGGGGCCAUCCAAUCAAUGGUCCUCCGGACACAAUACCAACAUCCCCGAAACAUGGAUAGGCCUGGUGACCUCGCGCUCCUAGAGGCCCCAUGACUGGGUCCACAGAAGUCUUAAGAAAAGGGGGGAACGUGAGACCUAAACCUAACUGACUCCAUUUUAGAAAAAGCCUCCAUCUUGAGGGUGAACUAGGCCCGAACCCAGUUCCAGGAAAAACCGCAGGAAGUACUUAGGCAGCCUGCCCUUCUUUACUUCCCUAGCAACAGCAACAGCCAAUCAGUUUAAAAGAGGCGCCUAUGGGGGUGCCUGGGUGGC